AAUUCACUAGCUCAGUUGGUAAGAGUGCUGGAUUGGCAAUCUAGAGGUUCGUUGUUUGAUUCCAGGUUCAAUUA
Non-coding RNA from Aedes albopictus (Asian tiger mosquito), 74 nucleotides. The record is from Rfam. Lineage: Eukaryota; Metazoa; Arthropoda; Insecta; Diptera; Culicidae.